GGGCCCGCACAAGCGGUGGAGCAUGUGGUUCAAUUCGACGCAACGCGAAGAACCUUACCUGGGCUCGAACGGCUGGUCAACGGAGGUGGAAACAUCUUUACCCCGCAAGGGGGUCCAGUCGAGGUGCUGCAUGGCUGUCGUCAGCUCGUGUCGUGAGAUGUUGGGUUAAGUCCCGCAACGAGCGCAACCCUUGUCCUGUGUUGCCAUCAUUCAGUUGGGAACUCGCAGGAGACCGCCAGCGAUAAGCUGGAGGAAGGUGGGGAUGACGUCAAGUCCUCAUGGCCUUUAUGUCCAGGGCUACACACGUGCUACAAUGGCCGGUACAAAGCGCAGCAAACCCGCAAGGGGGAGCCAAUCGCAAAAAACCGGUCUCAGUUCGGAUUGCAGGCUGCAACUCGCCUGCAUGAAGCUGGAAUCGCUAGUAAUGGCAGAUCAGCACGCUGCCGUGAAUACGUUCCCGGGCCUU
Molecule: ribosomal RNA, 466 nt
Filed under: uncultured bacterium
Lineage: Bacteria
Description: bacterial SSU rRNA
Rfam family: Bacterial small subunit ribosomal RNA
Source: RNAcentral